RNAcentral lists this ribosomal RNA (423 nucleotides) under uncultured bacterium. RNAcentral's name for it is "partial 16S ribosomal RNA". It matches the Rfam family "Bacterial small subunit ribosomal RNA", at positions 359 to 774 of the family's 1533-position model. The record is from RNAcentral.
GAAUUUUGGACAAUGGGCGAAAGCCUGAUCCAGCAAUGCCGCGUGCAGGAUGAAGGCCUUCGGGUUGUAAACUGCUUUUGUCCGGAACGAAAAGAUUUGGGUUAAUACCCUGGAGUCAUGACGGUACCGUAAGAACAAGCACCGGCUAACAACGUGCAAGCAGCCGCGGUAAUACGUAGGGUGCAAGCGUUAAUCGGAAUUACUGGGCGUACAGCGUGCUGAGGCGGUUUUGUCAUACAGAGGUGAAAUCCCCGGGCUCAACCUGGGAACUGCCUUUGUGACUGCAAGGCGAGAGUACGGCAGAGGGGGGUGGAAUUCCGCGUGUAGCAGUGAAAUGCGUAGAUAUGCGGAGGAACACCGAUGGCGAAGGCAACCCCCUGGGCCUGUACUGACGCUCAUGCACGAAAGCGUGGGGAGCAAACA